Molecule: ribosomal RNA, 441 nt
Filed under: uncultured bacterium
Lineage: Bacteria
Description: partial 16S ribosomal RNA
Rfam family: Bacterial small subunit ribosomal RNA
Source: RNAcentral
CCUACGGGUGGCAGCAGUGGGGAAUAUUGCACAAUGGGGGAAACCCUGAUGCAGCAACGCCGCGUGAGGGAAGAAGGAUUUCGGGAUGUAAAGCUCUAUCAGCAGGGAAGAAGAAAGACGGUACCUGACGAAGAAGCCCCGGCUAACUACGUGCCAGCAGCCGCGGUAAUACGUAGGGGGCAAGCGUUAUCCGGAUUUACUGGGUGGAAAGGGAGCGUAGACGGCUGUGCAAGUCUGAAGUGAAAGCCCGGGGCUCAACCGCGGAACUGCUUUGGAAACUGUAUAGCUUGAGUACUGGAGAGGCAGGCGGAAUUCCUAGUGUAGCGGUGAAAUGCGUAGAUAUUAGGAGGAACACCAGUGGCGAAGGCGGCCUGCUGGACAGAAACUGACGUUGAGGCUCGAAAGCGUGGGGAGCAAACAGGAUUAGAUACCCGAGUAGUC